Molecule: long non-coding RNA, 34420 nt
Filed under: Brachypodium distachyon (stiff brome)
Lineage: Eukaryota; Viridiplantae; Streptophyta; Magnoliopsida; Poales; Poaceae
Description: long non-coding RNA (BDIS_LNC001480)
Rfam family: MIR1120/MIR1122 microRNA precursor family (bases 28357-28493)
Source: RNAcentral
AUCCAUCUAUUGAUAGAAAUUAUGGGUGUGAUAACAAAAUAAAUUUUGUUUUUUGAGGACACCUCAAAGGGGCAAGGAGUUCCUGCAAUUCAUUAUAGAGGAAAUAGAAUUGCCCAUUAAUUAGGGAAAACCGGGCGAAAACCCGAUACAAAAGGGACGAACCCCAACGGUCGACAAAAAGACCGAAACGACUAACCAAACGCGCCACCUACACACCAACACAACAAUGGAAACAACAGAAGAACAUCCCCACCGCAUCGAACAUCACAUCAUACCCUCCACUGAGCAAGCCAGAUCCGGUAUGACCCACCAAAGAGGGGCUGAAGGAUCUCGACAGGCUCCGAAGAAGCACGGAUGAAUCUUCGUCGGAGCACCACACCACCGCACUGCACGCACCGCCGCCUUUGAAGGAGAGAGAAACCAAACCCGCUAGAGAGGAGCAGGUUUGGGCCGGCCCGCCAAAGGUGGAGGUGAGGCGCGCCUCAAGAGCCCAGCGUCACCCGUCACCCAUCUCUUCGAUCGUCUGCGGACCAACGCUGCUCGGGGCCACCGCCCGGCAACUAGAGCCCAACUACGCCCAGCGCAGCAUAGCACCUUCACCCCCUUCCGAGGCUGCCGCCCUGACUUCCAAACGCUGACUGCCAAGACAAGAACCGCAGCCAAGCUGCCAGAUCUGCUGCCCUGGCAACUAUACGGCCAAAUUAUGGGGCCGCCACCUCGGCAUCCACAGCCGCAGCCAUGCCGCCUGCAUGCCGAAUCCACCCACACACGGCGGGAGGAAGCGCCCCGGCCGCACCAGAUCAGCAACCAAAAGUGAACUCAGAACCUCGCCGUCCGUCCCCAAGGCUGGCCAAGCCAACCGCAGCCGCCUCCCCGGAAGAGACAACCCGGCCUCCCCUGAGCCUCGUACGUGCACCCGGCCACCUAGCCACCGAGAUCUGCAGGCGCCGCCCCUCCCCACCGCCUCCGCCCGCCGGAGUCGCGUCGAUGAGGGCCGCCGCCGCCCCGGCGUUCGAGCUCCGCUGCACCGAGGGCAGCCAGAGGAUCCCCACCCUCCUUCAGGGGCAGGGCCCGCCGCCACCGCGGCGAGGGCCGGCGGCCGCGGCAGCAGGGUGGGGCACGGGAGAGUGGCGGUCGACGAGAUCUAGGGUUUUUCCCCUGAGCCGCCAGACGAAGGAGACGCAGGGGUCGUGAGUCACUAUCCAAAUUAAAUUUUGUGUCAUCUGGAUAUCUUUGUACAACAAAUAAUGUGAAGUGGAGUGGAGUCCAAGUACAGAGUACUCUCCGGAGUCCGAACACCAGGAAUUUCUUUUUCCACCAGAUAUUGUCGUUGAUGUUUGUCAUCCAAAUGGGUCUCCAACCCUCAAAGGUUGAGAAUUCGACAUCUCAAUGUACUCAAACCAUAACUCAUGGUUGAGAUUUCGAAAUCUCCAUCCCUAAAUGGGUAUACUCUCUCCGUCCAACCGAAGAUGUUUUAAGUUUGUCAAAAUUUGAAUGUAUGUAGACAUGACUUAGUGUAUAGAUGCAUUCAAAUUUAGUCAAAAUUGAACAUCCUUGUUGAACGAAAGAAGUAUAUAUUUUCACCCUUGUCAUUUUUAAUUACGAAACGUAUUCGAGUAGCACUGUUUAAGGCAAGUACACCUCGGUAACAUGUGCACAGCACACGCACAAGCUAGCAGACAUGCACACGCACAACUGGGCCAGCGUUCGUACUGCAGUGGGCGGUACGUGCAGGAGUGAUUUCGUCAAGACUAUAGCUGGCUACUUCUUACGAUUUGGGACCAGUCAGUGGUGUACCACGAAGCAAUUAUAUACCAAUACAACCAGGAAGCGAGGAAGAAAAUUAUGCAUGGUGUCUCCUCAAAAACAAAAUUAUGUACUCUCUCCGUCCAACAAAAAUGUCUCAAGUUUGUCAAAAUUCGGAUGUAUCCAGAUAUGAUUUAGUGUAUAGAUGCAUUCAAAUUUAGUCGAAGUUGAGACAUCCUUUAUUGAACGGAGUAAGUAUGGUGAUUCGAAACUUCAAACUCUGCAGCGCCAAAAGGGGGCAAUGCAAUUACUCCGUGUUAAUUAUACUAGGUGCUUGGAUCAUCUUCAUAAGAUGGUGGAAAAUAAGCAGCUCCAUUCAUGUCGAAUUCUCCACAAAAAAUAGCUCAAAAUACUGAAGGGACACUUUUAAGUUUCAGAAUAUUUCCAUUUUUUUACCCUUGACAAUAGAAAAAAAAAUCUAAUUUCAGACUUGCUAAUUUACACAAGCACAUUGGGGCAAGCAAGUUAGGCAACGCAGAGGCAAGCUGGGCGAGCCAACUUUUCAUAGAUCCAUCAUCCCAUCCCAUAAAAAAUCUCCACAUCAUGCAUCGAUGUGGCAGAGAAGUCAGCUAUCCAUUUGCACAUCAGGUCAAAUCCGGGUUUGACCACCCUAAACCAACAUGAAGACCAACUUUAAUCGGUAUUGACAUUUCAUGGAUGAAUUAAGUUCGCACAAAAAAGAGUCAAGGGACUAUAGAGAGCCAAAGAGAAAUAAAAAGAAGGGAAAAAGAAAAAAAAUGAAGAUUUUUCUUGAAACACUCGGCUAAUUCAAAAAAUAGAGAGAACGUACUCAAGAAUUCAAAAAUAAAAAAAUUAUGAAGAAUGUGGUUCUUUCAAGGGAUUGAAAAUUUCUAUUUAAAAAUAUUUUUUAAAUGAAAUUUGAGGAACAAUCUGUAUUUUUUUAGGGAAAUCUAAAAUUUAUAGAAAAAUGGAAAUACUCAAAUUAGUAAAACUAAAUGAAUUUUAAAAAUGAAAAAUAAAUAAUGUAGAAGUGGAAAUUUGUUGAGUUUUAUCAAACUCCAUAGGUUGUUCAUGAAUAUAGUAUGAAUGUUAUGCAUUUCUAAUUUUCUAUAGCAACUUUGGAAUAGUUUUUCUCUAAAUUUAUUUUAAAAAGUCUUUUUGCAUUCGAGGGACCAAGAAUAUUUGACACACAUAUAGGAGACUAGUCUUUGGACUAUAAAAAGUAAACCUUUUCCUUUACUCAAGCUUAUACUAUAAUGUAAAAACCUGUGAAUGAUCCCCGCAGGAAGCCACGUCGAUCUAACACCACCAUUUUUUUAAUUUUUUUGAUAAAUCGAUCUAACACACCAUCUGUUAAGUAUAGGUUGGUGCGAUUAUAACCCUUCUGGGACAAACUAAAUGCACACCUUGUCAGCUCUGCACAGACUGCACUGAACUCAAUACGUCCAAUAACAGGUGAGCCCCCCUUACCUACUCGAAGCAAGCAAGCAAAGCAACCUCUCACGCUUUCACUUGUCCUAUAAACUGCCCGCAGCAUCCAUCGCGCUCUCACUCCAUUCACGGCGGGCGCACCCAACAACCAAGCUCCACUCUCUCGCUCUCUCUACCCGAGCCUGCCUAGCUAAUUAAGCUACCCAGCGAAUUGAAACCAAGGAGCUAGCUGGAGUAGCUACAAGUGCUAGAAACCCAUUUCGGAGGCAAAGAAUUAAUUGAAUUAAGGAAGCGCCAUGUUAGGCUGCUUCUCCCGGCUGCGUCGGCCGCCGCCGGCCACGGCGCCGGCGCCCGUGCAGGCGGCCGACGACGCGUCCACGUCAGCGGAGUCGACCUCCACCGUGGCCACGACCUCCUCCUCCUCAUCCGCGCCCUUCAAGAAGAACAUCAUCUCGCUCCACGCCGGUAGUAACGACGACGGCGCCAUUGUUGUCUCUGCGAAGAAGAAGGUGGACGCGACCCCGACGUCAUCGGCGCUCUCCGAGUCACCGGGGCUGUCCUCGGCCAUCGCGUCGCGGCGGUUCUUCCUGUCGUCGCCGGGGCGGUCAAACUCCAUCGUGGACUCCUCCUCGUCGGCGAUGCACGCGGUGGGGGGCGUGGCGGCGGUGCCGACGUACUCGCCGGACCCGCACGGUGACUUCCUGCGGUCCAUGGAGGAGAUGGCGGCCGCGCUCCGGCUGCGGGACGCGCGGCGGCGCGGUGACAGGGCGCGGCUCCACGAGCUGCUGCUCUGCUACCUCGCGCUCAACGACAGGGGGGCGCACAGGUACGUCGUCAGUGCCUUCACCGACCUCCUCCUCCGCCUCACCCGCACCGCCGACCUCGACGACGACGAUGAAGAAGGCUUGUAGAUAUACCAGAUCGAGCCCCGGAGAUAAAACAGUCUCUUCUUCCAAUUGAUCUCAAGAGCGUUGCUAACUAUGCUAUGCGUAGGAACAGAGUUUUUCUUUUUUGGCAAAAUGUUCGUGCCAUGCUCAGUUACCUUACCCAGAUCAUAUGCGUAUGCAUGUGCAUGUGCAUCUGGCUGUAAAUACGUCGUGUGAAAUUUCGUGGCGAAAGCCACUUUGGAGGAGUUUGUACCGUUGUGUGCGUUGCUUUUUGCUCUUUUAUGAAAGGUGUGAGCGUGCUAGUGAAGGCGGAAUAUCUUAGCUUCCACAAUCGUGUCGCUUUGUUUGCUUUGUGCGUAGUUGCGGUUUGUCUUUUUGGCCAUCUCUUACGCUUUUUACUGUGUAGGCACUAGCUUUCUGUUGGGGUAUCUAUCUGAAGGCCGGUUUGCUUUUGCAUUUGCUUAAAGCAAACAUGGUUAUGCCGUGACCAUCUUUUGUAAAUGUAAAGACAAUUCUAUUGGUUAUCACUCUCAAUAGCAUUAGUGCUAACUGCUGCACAUCUCAUUUAUCUUUUACACUGCCCCAAAAGCGACUUCGCCUAUCUUGAGACUGGCGAGGUCUUCGGAUCCAGCAGCAGGACGCAAUAAUAAACAGAUGCCGUGCAAAACCAAUCGGUGUACUACAUGGACCUGCAGCCCUGCUCACACAUGGCUACUGUUAAGUUGGAUGGUGGAUCGUAUCAAUCGCUGCUGGGGGCAGAGCAAAGCAUGAGGACACUCGUUCGCAAAAAAUAACGAAAAUGCAUAAUGAGAUUCAUUCAUGGACUCACUCCUGUGUGGUCGGAACUAGUAGGGGCUGAAAAAACAGAAACGUGAUGCCAAAAGGCAAAGCAAUCAAGCCUGUGAAGGGGGACAUGGACACUGCAACCGCAAACCAAGAUCUGCAUAGAUGUGCUUUGUCCAUGAAGCCCCAGCUCCUUUUUGCCCAACACAAUCAGAUCACGAUUCCAAAUACGUCCUGGGGCCUGCACAAUUACUGACUGAUGCGUAACAAACUAGAAAGCAAAGCAGGCAGGCAACGAGACAGCAACGGCAGCACUAGAGGGACAUGUUGCGAUCCCUGCAACAACACCAGAGCAGCAACCAAGUGCAGCGGGCAGCAUAGCAUGGAACAGUGCAAUCACGAAACAAGUCCACCACCGCCCAGCAGUUCCCUGUGCUGCUCCAGGUCCUCUGGCCAUUGAUCCUUCCGUCCUGGCCGGCAGUGACGCCGACAAAAUCACCUUUGGUGGCCGGCCACGCGCCGCAGGCCACAGCACGCAUGGCAUGACAGGCAGCAGAAUGAGCACUAGGGCACACUGCUGCACUCCCACAAACAAGAAAUACUGCUCAAUGCAGAUUUGGCACCCUGCUGGGGGAGUGGAGAUGCACCAGGAUCCACAGGAUUGAUAUAAAAAUUCAUGAAACUGUAAAUUUAGAAAGAGAUUUUUUACGGUUCUGGAACCACAAAUACGACUGGGAAUGGGACAGGUGGGGCAAGAAGAAUAGGAGAAGCAAAAUGGAUGGAGAAACAAACAAUGGGUGAUAAAUGUGGUACAGAAUAGACAGAGAACAAGAAAAAUCCAUAUCUAUGAGAGAGUAAUUUAAUGGCACAGAAUAAGCAUUUGCCUAAUUCAGUUUGAUAUCUAAUUGUUCCCAGCAUUGAUCUACUGAUAUAUGAACUCUUUUGAACUGUAACUGAUAUCUGUGGUACUUGCAGAUAAAUUCUACUCCCUCUGACCCAUAUUAAUUGUCUCAAAUUUGCCCAAAUAUGGAUGCAUCUAUGUUUAAAAAGCGUCUAGAUACAUGUAAUAUUUCGACAAGUAAUUCCGGCCGGAGGGAGUAUGUAAUUUCAAGAUACACCUUUAUUUGAAUAUUUACUAGGAUGGAUAAAUAUCAUCUAAUUGGCAAAUUGAUGGAACCAAAUCACAGCUGCCCUUUAAUGCAAACACAAGCUGAACAAAAUUGUACUACGAAGCACCAUGCGGCAUUGAAGUGGCUUUUUUACCCUCACCUGGUUCCAUGAAAAAUUGCCGAGACCAAUAUCCAGUUGUAAUGACCAAUACAAAUACUGAGGGACUAUCCAAGAUAAUGGCAAUUCCCUAGGAAUAUGUGAUUUUCAAGAGCAAACAAUACACAAAAGCUGUGACCAUUAAUCCUCAAAAUAGAUGCAUCACAUCUUCACCGUCACAGCUAGUGGAACUAUAUACAGCAACAUAUAACCAUUAAUACCCAAAACAGAUAUUCAAAGAACAAUCAAUCCUCAACAAACAUUACCAAGAAAUUUAUCUACCAGGCACGGUACAGACAAGACAAACAUCACAGUUCAUAUUGGAGACAGUUGAUGUAAUAAAUAACUAUCAAUUUGGAUAAACUAUACUCUUCCAGAUAACCAUUCAAUCAGUAGGUGAUGGAUGGUUGCCAGAAAACACAAGUUCAAAUACAAAUCGCAGGAAUAAUGACAAUGGUUAUAGGCAUCCUAAGUGCAAGUAUUAUAUUCGAUUUUUGAUGCACAGCAGUAGCAUGUAUCAAUCAGAUUGGUAUCAAAGAUAAGGUACAGAAGGUUUGGUGCAAUUAAAUAAGCUAGCAGGAAGGUGGGCCUUUUUGAAAAGAGACUAAUCAGAUGGGUCAAAUUCUCUUCUGCUCUUGAGGGAAGCCCUUUUUCUCGAAUCGGAAUCUAAUUCAUCCAGAUCAGAUGAAGUUGCUAGGUAUCCAUAAAGUAUCCUGUUUUUCUCACCCCUGUUAUCAGUCUCGACCAGUAAAGGGUUCUUAUCAGGAUCUAAAGAGUGAGUGGCUUGUGCACGUGACCAACCUAUACGUCCGUGAUCUUGCCUCUCAAGGAACUCAGCAAGGUGCUCAGCCUCUUUUAAGCCAGCUGGGUUGUUCGCGAACUUGAUAAGGGUCAGACCCAAAUGCCCUUCCUUUCCAUACAAGGACUUCGACUUGCCACCAGCAAAACCUAGUUCUGAAAACAAAGAUAGAGGACGACACAGCAAAAAUUACUGUGCUAUAUAUGCCAUUACUCCAUAAACAUGUUCAACAGAGCAAUAGAUGCAUAACUGAUACUCCCUCUGAUCCUAAAUUCUUGACUCAAAUUUGCCCACAUAUGGAUGUAUCUAUUCUUAAAAAGCGUCUAGAUACAUGUAAUAUUUCGACAACAAUUUAGGAUCGGAGGGAGUAGUACUUCUCAUGUGUUUUGAUUUCUCAGAUGUCCAAAUAUUGCUCGACAGUCAAAUCUUAAUUUAACACUCAACAUUAUUGCUAGAUUUAGAUAUUUUAUUUAGCAAGAAAUAUAAGCCCCAAAUCAUCUCUAAUCUCUCCCUCACAGAAAUGUGGCCAAGCGGACAGCGAUGAGAAAAUAUUUGCAGAUUUGAACAAGGAACAUAGCCCGCUGGAAGCAGAUGUGUGUGCGAGACUGACAUAUAUCAGAAUGUGACAGCUCCUUGAACAUGGAACCAGGAUAUACAACUUCAUGUAUAAGGAUAGAGCCAACACAAACUAGUUUUCACAUGGACAGUGCGAUGACUUAGUCUGUGCAGUACUCUGUGCAUUAGUUGAAUCAGGAGGAAUUCAUAUUCAACGGAAUUCAUCUAAUGAAGCGUUAGAUGCCUUCCACUACUCACUGCAGGUUUGCAGCCAACCAAAGCACCCAGGAUAAGACUGCUCCUGCAGAGUUCAAGCUUACAAGACAACAGUAUCAUGAACCUAACAACUCUCAGAAGUACAUCCAACCAACUAAGACAAAUCUAGCAUAUGGCGCAACAAGACAUAGAAUAAUCCCACAACCAUCAUCUCCUACCUAACAAAGGUUAAAACACAUAUGUCCAUAUCAAGUCGGCUACUCGAUACAGUCAGUAAGCUUAGUGAACAUUAUCACAUGGUAGCACAUGUGCCUAGGAGUUUAGUGAUCAAACUAUGGUCAUAUAAAAAGGGAUCACUAAUCCAUCAGUUUGGGGAGCUAUACAAUGGUCUUAAAUGCUCAAUUCAUGAGUCUACAAUGCUCUUAGAUCAAUAAGACGAAUAACCUAGCAUAAAUGGAUAGGUUCAUAAUCUUUCAGAAGAAAUGAAAGAUCAAGGUGAAGGAUCGUGAAAGCGCCAGUACACAAGUUCUGUAAGUUCCUUUCCAUACAAUCCUUAUAUUCCCCCAUAUUUUGCCAGGCAGAUGUGACAAACAGGGACACCAAGCCUAUAAAAGUGCAAAUCAGAAACUUCUUCUGUGCACUUAUCCAGCCAACUAUGCGAAAGGCACUUGUAUGCAAACAUUACACUGUUCACUUUGGUAGUUAGAGACUGCAAUAUAUAGACAUACCUGCAAUUUUCUUAUCCAUUUCUUUGUUCCCCAAACCCUCGUAGCGUCCAUCUUUCUUCCUCCCAGUGGCAGUGUUGCGAAUGACAACAGUUGGCGGCCAUAUGAUAACGUCCUCCCUACUUGCUCGAACAAGCUCAGGAGGUAAUGAUUGGUAUGCCUUAGAGUUAUCAGGGACCAUUGUAUAAUCCCAUCCCAUAAGGACACAUAAUGCCUUGUGUAAACCAAGAUGAUCAAUGAAUGAAUCUGCAUUGGGUGGGUUGUAAGCAUGCAUGACAAGCCCAUGGACAUCAGCAAAGUCCUUAGAAGACCUGGAAUUGGGCACAUUGACCAGACAUAAUCACAAAGAAAUAAAGAUGCGGUCAACAGGAGCUGAAAACUACCAAAUAAAUGUAACGGUCGUCACAACCACUAUUAUAUGACAUGAUCUACAAACGAAAAAAGAUAUAUGCUAAUUCCAUUGUACCAAGCCCCAGAGCAAGCCUAUCACAAAUGUGCCAUAAGAUGAGCAUGAAAAUAGGAUUCCAAUGCCACAGAAGAGCUCAUGCUAGAAAACAAUAUGUUUGUUCACCAGAACAUAACUUAAUCCUGUAGGUGUGUCCAAAGCUAUGGUACACUUGGGAAUUGUGUUGCAUGAAGCUGCCUAGGUCACACUGGGAAUCUUCUACCAUACAUAGAUAACGAGCAGUAGCUACUAGGGGUGUUCAAAACGGUUUGGAUUGAAACCGUGAAAACCAGAUACUCAAUAUUCUGUACUACGCCGCCAGUGUGUUCGCAAUCUUUGAAGGGACUUGACCUAGGCUGCUCUCAGCCGGUUUCCACGGUUUCAGGCCAAACAAAAUAUGAACAGCCCUAGUAGCUAGUGCCACGUAGUAGCAUAACCUGCACAUGUGAUAGCUACAUAUAAUCCAGCCAAGCAUAGUCCCAUGCAUGCCACUAACUCAUCCAUUUAGUCCUUACACUCAGCAACCACUAUGCUCGCCUUUUGUAUAGAUCACCCAAGCUAACCCAUUCACAAUGUGCAAGCUCGUUAAGUUAUGACUGCCGAUCAUAAACAAAGGACGCCAUAGAAAGGAAGGAGUCAGAUUCUAUAAAAGGGUUUUGAUGGCAGGUUAGUUUAGACCAAUCGUUUCGACAUGCUAGGAAAGGUAAACAUGCAGAUUAUUGGCUUGUGGAACAAGAACGGGAGUUUUCGAUACCGAGUGAAUUUGGAUCAACUAUGAAAAGGAGAGAAUAGAUAGCAUAUGGAAUCUAAACUACAGUAAUCCGAAUGAACUAUAAUCAGGAAGCAUUGCACAUGGAAACCAACAAGGAUAUGCAAAUGGAAGUUUGGAUCAACAAUGACAAGCAUCAAGACUUUAAAGGGAUUUAUCGUAAUAUUUUCUCUACACACAGGAUAUAUUAGAAGUAACUAUCCAAGGGGAGAUAAGAUGGCAUCUGUGGAGUAAGUUUUUAACAUCACCUAUGUCAUGGGUAAGACACUAUUGUCGCCAUGCUCUUUGGACGGGAGGCAUAAUUCAUGUUCCUAUUUGAAAGGGUGUGAGUAGGAUCUUAUCACCUUUCGGCAGUAUUAUCAGGCUCAGUCCUACCAACGUCUCAGGUCACUAUUGACCAGUGGGGCCUCAUGUUAUUAAAAAACACUAUGAUAUAUAUGACAUAAGAAUAAAUGCAUAAGAUUGUAGUUCUAUACAGAAUACAUUCAACCACAUUUAAGAAGCAUCAAGACCAUCAAGAUGUGCUAGUUUUGUUGAUGCUUGCAAGUUGAUUAUAAACCAGCUCAUGCAAAAGGUUGUAGCUUGCAGGUUCAAAAUUCAGAGGGAUGACAGCAUGGCUCACAGGCAUAAAGCCAACAAACUAUGAGGUUCACAUUUUCUCCAGCCACAUUGGUCAGGUCCAGGUCCUAUAAUCAUGCCUCUGCGAGGAUGAUAUCUUCUAGUUGCCAUUUUGGAUCGAGUUUUUUAGGUUUUAUACUUAGAUUUUAUUAUGUAAAUUUAAGUUUCGCACUGGGAACCUGAUAUCUAAGGUACGGUCUGCCUAUUCUACAGUCUGGUUAACCAAUCUUUUCCUGAUUUCAUGGCUAUUUUUCUAGAAAGAUUAUUAUAAAAUAAGCUCAACACAGCACAGUUCAGCAACAAGAAACUGACCCUUAAUCUUUAGAGAAAAUGAUAUUUCGGUAAUACUAUCAUUGUUUUACUUUAUUUCUCUUAUAACCUCACCUACCACGAACUAUCUAUCAUGUUGCAUGCACCAAACCACUACACCCAAAAGCUUAAGCUGACACGUAAAGGAGGGCAAUUCACUUGUAGUUCAACACUCGCCCACACAUCCCUCAGGCCUAAACGUUGACCGAAAGUGGGCUGCAUUUUUUCAAAAAAUUCUGCCAGCCAGGUCUUGAACUCAAGACCUCUUAGCUCUGAUACCAUGUAGAGUUGCAUGUACCGAAAAGGUACACCCAAAGCUUAAGCUGAUGGGGAAAAGGGGGCAAUUCACUUAUACUUCAAAUAUCAUAAUUUACUAACGAUUCAUUAAAUAUACUGGAAAAAUAUACCAUCACAAAAAUUCAUGUCAAUUCCAUGCUAGUUUCCCUCUUAGAAUUGACCAUGUCACACCAGCCCAUUCCAGUUUAUAAUUUCAAAAAAAAUAAAGAACUUAAUCCAUAAGUUCGCAAAUCUAUGACACGCAUGGAUGAUCACAGAGCCUUAAGACAUGCAUUGUAGCCAUGACGUGCGAAUCAACAUGAAGAAUGCAAAGCAACGUCAUUAGAAGUCCAUGCAAACAUGCCAUACAGGCCCACCAAAUAUCAAAGAAAUUAUAUCCCCACAGUUACUCGGUCAUUCAUGUCACCAUUUCUUCCUACACCCUCUCCUCCCUCUAAGCCCUAAAAAAGUUUGGUACACUGUCACACCAUAUCAAGUUCCUGGCAUGACAUAAUCCAGCCAUGGCACAGUGCGAGCAGUUCCCUGACCAGCAAGACAUGGUGCAACAUGAAACUACUUGUGCAAGAGUGAAGCAGUACAAAGUUGGCACAACUCACGCAAGGCCAUGAGGGCAUGAUGCAGGCUGGUGCAAGGUCCGCUCCUACUUGCAAACUGCUCAAAAACAUGGUUGGCUAACAUGGUCAUAGACGGACAUAACAGGUACAGAAAGCUAGUUCUGCUGGGUUAUUUGGGCAGCAGAGUUCAGAUCAGUAAGAUUGAUUACGGAUCAUAUAAAUUAACACGGAAGAUACUAUUCGCCAUCAGCAAACAAACAUAUUACAAGUAAAACUGUCUGAGAAGUAUCAGGCAAUAUGUACAUAUGCUCACCUGCAAGAACUAAAGCAUAUUUAGUAAAUAUAUUGUUCCAGAACAGUUUACUUUGCAGAACACUGAAUCAGAAUCUACACACAGCGAUGCAGUUCUAAGAAAAUGCAAGGUGAAGUUACACUAGUAGUAUAGUAUGAAGUUUCAAACAUAAUAUCAGCAUCAAGUUAAUACUAUAUGCCAAAAGUAAGCUUUGCAGUUCUUUCAAAAUUGCUGACCGGUGAUCACAGCACUUUGCUUUGAGCGUCAGUGGGUAGAAAAGAGACAGCAUGAAUUGCAUGUGGUAGCCGCAGAGGCAAGCUCACAGAUAUACCCUCGAAAAGGAAAGGAGCAAAAAAGCGGAAGUAACAAAUAACCGGUCCGGUAGAAUAUGAUGAGAACUCUCACCAGAGAAAAUAAAAACUUGAAUAGCAGAAAUUAAUUAGGAAACAUAAUGAUGUCACACCUAGUAGCAGAGAGCAGAAAUUUUAUGAAGGCUCUCCGUCAAGUGCAGUUCAAUUUCAUGCUUGUAUCAGAUCAGAUAAAUGAAGCAAUGCUAAAACUAAAGUUCACCUCAAAAUUCCUAGUAGUGCUAACUACUAGCAUCUAGAGAAAUGAAUAGUACAACUUGUCGCAUAUUGCCACAAAUAGAAUUCAUGCAAAAUGAGCAACAUAAAAACCUAUGGGCGCACGGACCUAUUGGCUAGCAUGUGUAAUGCGGUCUGCCCAGCAAGACAUACAUGUAAUAAUGUCAGUAUCAGUUUAUGACAAUAAGAAACACAUUUCAGUAACAUAUGGAGUCAAAGUGUGAGAACGAGCUCAACAAUGGAAAGAAACCAGCACAGGAACCUGACUACGAUCAGUACAAUAACGCUGCUCAGGAAGGAAGUGACAAGCAAUGCAGGAUCGCCAAACCUGCCGCAGGGGAGGCAUUGGACGCGACCACCUUCGAGGUAGCUCCGCUUUUGGGCCAUACUCUCAUUGAUGAUUUUGGAGUAUUUGAGGAACGCCCUCCUUACAGCUUGUCGAUCGACAGCUGCAUCUGGCCGCAUCUGCAGCGGGUGAUGCGGUGACUCGAACCGGGGCUGCUUCGGGUGCCUGGAGAAGCCUUCUUCAGGGUCGGAGUGGUGCUUGCGCUUGCCGUCAUGCGGCGGGAGCUGCUGCGGCGGCAUCUGAUGCUGUGGCGGCCAGGCCUCGAGUCCAGCACGCGGGAGGUGUGGGAGCGGGGGCAAAGGGGUUGGCUCGAAGGGGUAGUCGGGAGGAAGGGCGAAGUAUGUGCGCACGGUGCCGUCGGCUAGGAGCAUGGUGCGGCGGUCGAGGUUGUGGAACCCGUACUGUGGUGGGGGAGGCGUCUCCACACGGGGCGGCUGCUGAUGCGGCGGGCGGAUGGCGGCCGCCGGCGACGCGGGGUUGCGGGCGAGAGGGGCUGGGGCAGGAGCAGCGGGGUGCCGCCUGGAGUUGGAGGAAGGAGCGGCGGCAGAGGUGGGGGUCGGCGUGCGACGGGAGGUGGACGCGGUCUUCUCUCCGGCAGGGUUGGGUGCGGCUCCGGCGGGCGGCGGGCCCCAACGAGACUUGCGGGGUGCCAUGCCGCCGGCAGGGGGCUUGCCGGAGGCGGAGGGCUUGGCUGGAGGAGGGUUAGGGUUCUUCAUUGCUUCAGCUAAGAUUUGGGAAUUUGGGGAAUAGGAUCGGAUUCCGGGAGCAUCGAAGACGAGAGUACGAAGCUUUUGCCUGCCUGCCUGAUUGAUUAGAACUUAGAAGGCGACGAUCCAGAAGUUUACGUAAAAGCUAGUGGAAGGCGUAUUUACUCUCGUAAACAAUUGUCCUUCUUUUCUCGUCAGCUUAAAGUUACGGUUCUUAAUCAUAGAUAAAUCUUAAAUUACCUUAUUAAAAAUCAGAGAUAAUUCGAUUCUAAUAUGAUUUGUGAUUUAAGAUUUAAAAUAAAUGAUAAAAAAAAAGAUAAAAUGAGAUCUACAGACUAAUCAACGAUUCUGGUUCAUCGACUUAGAUUUAACUUUUUUCUUAAAGAUCAAACAACUUAGAUAUAAUCGCACCCUUAGAUUUUUGGGUGAACUAGGUGCAUAAAACUUUUCAUGGUUUCAGACCCAACAACUCUCGAGGUCGAGUUCAAGACCCUGCUAGCGCAAUUAAAUUGCAGUCUAUUUUUUGGUCAACGUUUAGAUUUGCGGGGCCGCACGUGACGGAGGGUUGAAGUAUAUGCAGAUUGCUCUCCUCUCCCCCAUGAUAAGCAAUGACCGGUCCAAACAACAUCCAGAAUGCGGAAUUGCUUGGUGCCAAUAGUUGCAUAAACAGAAAUCUAACUUCUUAAAUUUUGCUUCUAAGCGAUUCAUGUGGAAUUGUGGAAGAGUCGUGCGGCGUGACCUAACAAAUGCACUACGAAGUUGUAACCAUAUUGGGCAAAGACGCAUUCUGACGAUGUGUACCGACAAAUGCUAGAAAGUAAAGCUGUACUCUACAAAUUGUCCAUUUAAAAAAUCAUGCUAAACAAAAAACAACUUUCCAAAACAUUUUUGUUCACAUCCAUCGAGACCAAUUGCAGUAGCUGGUUAGCUGCUAUAAUUCAUACACGCCUGUCAAUAUAUGCAGGUAGUACUAGCAACAUACAUUUCACCAAUUAAGGGCCAGUUCGUUCAUGCCCCAGCCCAUUCAAUCCAGGGUGAAUGGCAGGAAUUAAGGAAGAUUUUAGUUCAUUUUCCCCUCAAUCCCCUCUAAACCCUCUCAAUCCAUGGGGAUUUGCACGCAACCGAACAAGCCAAGGUGAAAGGAUCGGAACACCGGACACUUCUAACUCCCACCACCACCCACACCGCCGCAACCACCACCGCCGGAGUUCGCCAGCUCCAGCCGAUCCACCUGUUCCUCUUGCAAGGGCUCGAGGGUAGCCACAACGUCCCGCAUGAGCGGCCUAGCCUUGGGGUUGCGGCUGAGGCAGUGGUAGGCGAGCAUGGCCGUCUUGUGCACGGCCUUGACCGAGUAGCCGUCGUCGGCGUUCAGCCUGGGGUCGACGAUGCCCAGCACCUUCCUCCUCUGCGCCAGCAGCGGCAGCGCCCAGUCCGCCAGCGCCUGCUCCCUGACGGGCCUCGACCUGUCCAGCGACUUGCGCCCCGUCAGCAGCUCCAGCAGCACCACCCCGUAGCUGUACACGUCGCUCAUCGCCGUCAGGUGCCCCGUCGUGAUGUACUCCGGCGCCGCAUAGCCGUAGGUGCCCAUGAUGCGGGUGGACACGUGCGACUUGUCGCCCGCCGGCCCGUCUUUCGCCAGCCCGAAGUCGGAGAGCUUGGCGUUGAACUCCUGGGUUACCAUGGACGGACGUCGUCGUCGAAGGAUUCAGAUCAUGGAAACGAAAGCAAACGCCGGAGCAAAUUAAGCCAGCACGGUAUUUUGGAGGAAAAGAAAGGAAAACCUCGUCUAACAAGAUGUUUGAUGUCUUGAAAUCCCUGUAGAUCACUGGCCUCUCGGCUUCGUGCAGGAAGGCGAGCCCCCUGGCUGCACCCAGUGCGAUCUUCAUUCUCGUGGACCAUGGCAGCGGCAACAUCACCCCUGCAUUGGUAAAUUUACCAGUGUUUCAAUAAUUGACAGGAUACGGUGUGUGAUCCCAGAUGAACAGGUAACAAUGCAUACUACACUAGCACAUUCAUAACGGAAUCAUCAACAUUAGCAAAGAACGGAAACGAGCAACCGAUUAGUGUCAAGAACAGGCAGGCUUAAUUAGCCUUACUCGAAAACAGGUGCGAUUCCACGCUUCCGAGGGGCAUGUACUCGUAAACGAGGACCCGGUGAUCAUCUUCGCAGCAAUACCCGACCAGCUUCACCAGAUUCGGGUGCGACAGCUGCCCGAGAAAGAUCACCUCAGCCUGCAAAACGCAAAGAACAAACAAUGAUCAACUUCACAAGUUUAUAACGACAGUAGAUCACAGAGCAUAUACACUCAAAAUUCAUUGAGAAAUGAAUGCUGAAUGAUCACCAGCCACUCUCUGUGGCCCUGGUAGCUGUUGUCGCCGUCGUGGACCUUGACGGCGACUUGCAUCGGCAGCGGCUCCUCCCCGAGCGCCGCCGGUAAUCCUUCCCGGAGGUCGCCGGUGACGUGGCCUUUGUAGACCCUGCCGAAGCCGCCACCGCCCAGCAGUGAGUCCCGCCGGAAGUUGCACGUGAUCGCCUUGAGCUCCUGGAACGUGAACGCGAUCAGCGGGUUCUUCCGGGCCGCGUCCCGGCGCCGCAGCGCCUCCACCUCCUUCGGGUUCGACGGCAGCGGGCCCUCUUCCUCCUUCUCCGUUCUCUCCGACGGGCUCCUCAGCUUCGGAGAUCCAGCUGCAACAGAUGAAAAGAGCAGGCCAUACAUGUCACGACUCACAAGUUCAGAAGUUGCAAAUGAUUCAGAGUUCUUUGAACAGUUCACUGAAACAGAGUUUCUGAAGAUAAGCAUGGGUUUCCAAGAGUGACAACUUCUUGUCGUUGAUUUGGCUGGCGAGAUGCAAAUUGACAACAUGCAUGAUGAAUGGAGUGGAUAUCUGACUAAAAUGUGUAGUAUUCCGAAUGGCCAUAUGUAGCCUGUCUGUUUGAGCGUGCAGGGAGGUAUAUAUGGCCUUUUUUGGAUUGAGAAACACUUUAUACUGAUCAACAAGUGCUGCAUGCUCCAUCUAUGAACAUAUAAUAAUGUAUCUCUAUUUCUAUAUCGGUGGAUCAAACAAAUAACAGAACGUCUUGCAUCCUACAGCUGCAACACCUACGUGCGUAGUCACAUGACAAGCAAAUUACCAAGAAAGGAUUAAUUUCAGUGUACCUGAUUUUGCUGCGUUGGAGGAAACCCUGUUAAAGUAUGGAUUCCCUUUAAACCAGCAAUUACCCAUGACAAGCAACUCCCAAAGAACAAACAGACUCUGCCUAUCUCACCAAGAACACCAAGAACAAAUGACCUGUUUUCUUCUGAAACUGCGGAUGGAGACAAAGUACAGAUACAUUCCAAUCUCCUGAAAGCUACACAGAGUGAACAAACACACAAGAAUGCCUCAAGAGAAACAACCCGUUCUGCAUUUAUUAUGCGUUUCAAGGAGAAGAAGAAACAGAGUGCAAAAACGCAGAGGAAACAGAAAAGAAAAGAAAAGGGCUGAGCAGUUCAGUUCUGGUAGGCCGUUUUCCUUUUAUGCAUCCUUUACACCAAUGGCGUAAACCUCGCAUUUAAGAAGGGCAUGGAUGAUUUCUCCCUCUUUCCCUGCACUGCAUUUAUCUCCUUCCCAUCUGCGCAUUUCCGGGAAAUUUUCCGGUGUGUGGAGGAGAAAGAAAAGGAGGUGGGAAAUGCAGCAAUCGGGACAGCAGGUAAAGCAAAGGCCAUGAUCAGACCACCGAAGGAGAUGACCGCACUUGAGUUGGAGUGAGACAAUGGGGAUUGCGGAGUGUAAGUGUAGUGGUGGGCUAAAGGAUCCAAUCCAAUCCAUCGUCUUUGACCCUGGGUUGCGUUGCCCUCACUCCUCCUCCUCUGCAGUCCAGACCAGAUUGCUUUGCUUUCCCGGUUGUGGUUGGGACUCAACCCAUCUGCUUCAUCUUUCAGGGAUCCGAUUGGAAGUGGAAUGAUGGGUUUUCUUGGUGGACUCGUUGCGCUGGUACAACGGUAGUGGCGCGCACGCACGUCCUCCCUCCCACUGAUCAUCGGAGUUCAGCUCACUGCAGUAGCCACAGGGCUGCAGACCACUAAUCCCCCAUUUGCCCAUUUCUUCUUCCAGGUCACAGGGGGGAUUCGUGGACCAGUGGCAGUCUUCCAAGUUCAACACCCAACUAACACCUGCUCCUUCCUCCUCAAUGCUCAAUCACCAUCCCAUUAGGUCAAAGACAUUUUCCCCUCUUUCCAACUUGGGAUGGAGGCGGUGACCACCGUCUAUAUCGCCAUGUUGUUCAGGUCAGGCCAAUCUCCUUCCCCUCCUCAGCUCGAGAUCGGUAAAGCUGGCUGCCUUUACGUCACUUGCAACGGCAGAUUAUACAGCAGAGCACCAAUGGGGCCAGCCCCCAGUGGAGGCAGUUACAGUUAUGCUGUUGCUACAAUGUGCAUUUCUUGUUUCCAUUGAUAAAAGCAGAUGCUCAUUGGGGAAUAACCAUUGUUUCCGUGUGGUUGGAUCGGUGUGGGUUCUCUGCUUGAGGAUGAGGAGAACCCUUCGCCCACCAGGUAUUCGACUGAUUGCCUGCCAGACUUGUGGUGCUGGCUAUGCACACUGUGGCUAGUGGUUUGUCUGUUUUAUUGAGGGCUUAAGAAAAGACUAAAUUCUAACUGAUUAGACCGUGUGAGCUCCAGCUGGUACUUAUACUUCUAUUGCUCUGCCCAUUUUAUGUCUGCCUAACAAUGUUGAAGUUGGUUGCUGUGAUGUGUCGAUUUAGCCGCUCUUUGGAUUCAGCAUGACUGCUCGCACCUCUGUAGUGUUGACAGAUUUGUCCGUGGCUGAUGUGACAGAUUUGCAAUUGCAACUCUAGUGUUUUCACCUAGCCAUCUAGGGGAUAUAGGUUAAGAUGUUUCCUGUAGCCGAUCAUAUUUGACAUGUUAUCAGAAUAGCAUGCUGUCAUUAUGUCACCAAAUUUGAGAGAUCGCAUAAUACCCCAAAGUCAUAUUACUUCUAGCCCCUUCUUGAGUGGAGAAUAACCUUCAUGUCUUGACCCACAAUAUCCUCAAGGAGUUGUACAUAUCCUUAUGGACAGAAAAAAAAAACUAAAUUCCAAGUGGUUGUCGCCUUGUCGGAUGACUCAUCAACUUAGCUUUCAAGUUAAAAAGGAAUUCAUCAACCUGGGCUUCAGUGCUGUAAGACUUUAUAAGUUGCAUUCUCUUUACACUUGCAUUUUCAUAGUAACACGUAAAGGAAACAGGGUUGAUUUGGUCUUCCUUAAUUGUCUGAUCCUAGAAAGCCCUAAAGGUAACCUAAUUUGUUGGUCAAACUAGAAAAGACCAUGGCCUAGAUUCCUACAAUGCAGGUUUGAAAGUAGUGUUUGUUAAACUUAUUAUUUGUGGAUUCAAGUACCUACUCAGUUUUCUAGCUGUCUAGUGUUAGUUCUUAGGGUACUGUAUAUACCUUUUUGUGGUCCUGUUAUACAGGCUAGAAAGCUACAUUAGUAUGAUGCAUGCUUUAUCAUUGCUUCUUCCUUUUCUGCUUCUUAAUUUCUUAUAUUUGUGUGUGAUCAUUCUCGUUCAGUCAUUCUAGCAUGCAAAAGCUAACCAUGUAGUGCAAAUAUGUCACUGAGUGGAUGAGUUUUACCUUGUUGAGAAGCACCCAUAUGAUCAAUUAUUCCCUGAAUUUGGAUAAAAUUUUAGUUCAUGCUACACGGUCAUGACUCACAGUCGAUCUCAAAGUAGUUGAAGUCUAUGUUUGACAUUUUCUCACAAACUAGUGGUUCAUAGACCUCAGCAAUCUUACAGGUUUCACUUCUCAGUAACCAAAUGCAAUUUAUCUGAUUUUAUUCCAAGCUUUUACCAUUUUAGUACACAUUGACUUUCAAGUUUCAACUAAUCUUUGAAACAAAGAAAACUCCAUGCCUUCUAUUUUUUGUGUAACGUGAUUUUCUUUCGGCAUAUAUAUAGAUUGGGAAGAACUCGAAAUAUUCUCAAUUUUUAUUUGUCCUCUCUGAUUGUCUGUAUAUAUUUUUAUAUGUGCCGGUGUAAGGCUUUGGGAGCUAAAAUCUACUCCCUCCGAUCCAUAAUAAGUGUCACUGGUUUAGUACAACUAGCAUUUUACAGGAAACCAAAUAUAACCAAGGGUAUACACAACUUUGCAGAUAAAAUUUCAAUGCAUCACCGGUCUGGAAUCUGUGAAGACAUUUUUGGCAUUUGAUUUUGAAGGGGGACUUUUUUUGGCAAAAUUACUGGACAAGGGCCCAGAAGUGCAAAAACCUUGCCUGACGAAGGUUGGUCAAGCUUAGCUUGCAACAGAACAUGGACUCUUUGACAAGGAGAUCUAUUCGGCCAAUCCUCAGAGUAGCAGUAGCUCUCUCAUGCUGAGCUGUUCCCUCACCAGAAGCCAGAGGAAGAUUUGGAUUUGGAGGAAUGUGCGAAGCUUAAACUGAUAGUACUAUGCUUUUCUGGAAGAGAGCCAAUACUAGCUAGUUGACCAUAACUUUGACUUACAUGGAUGUAAAGAAAACACUGGACAUGAACACAAAUCCAAUUCAUGUGCAACCCGGUCUUUGUGUUCUUGUAACCAAUGAUGGAAAUUUACUUCUUUUUUUGCGCAUCUAAAAGAUGCAAGAUCGACGGUCGGUGAAGCAUGUUGGUAAUUUCUCUUUGUGAUGUAAAGAAAUAUGAUGAGUUCUCCUGCAAGGGGUGUGUUUGGUAAGUUUCAUAAUGUUAGAAACUACAGGUUUCUUGACCUGUAAUGAUGUUCAUUAUUUUCCUUCUGGGCAUGCUGUUAUCUUUGCAUCAAUGUGAUUUGACAUAUCUAUCACAGUUCAUGUUCUCUGAAAACUGUACUGACACUACCAGUUAAGUUACUUAUUCACUCUUUUUUCUAAAUACUAGCCUCGACAUUAUUGAGUACCCAUGAUAUCAUGUACAAGGAUAUUUCCAUCUCACUGAGCCCCAUAAACAGUCUAUUUAUCGCCAGUUAAAAAGCUACAUAUAUCCAUUUUACGUGUAUUACUGAAAAAGGUUGUUAGCUGAUUGUAUUCAAGCUUAAGGGCAUGCUCCAGAUAGUACGAUUACUGCUUCUACGCAUGCUAAAUCUGAUAUAGCCUGAUCUUUACCAGUUAUUAGUUGAUUGAGAUCAAGUGGUUGUACCGUUGAAUGCAUGUAAAGUAGGGGAUGAAGGACAGAAGGAUGCAACCAUGUUUAAUUAAUCAUGGUCCACGCAGAUUAAGAAAUAGUUUUUCUGCAAAGAGAGAGUGCUCAGUAUUAUCAUCGUUCAGCUAAAGCAUUAUGCUUGCACGCAGUCUCUAAUGUAGAAACGUGUGCGGUAAACUUCAAUAGAUAGCUAAACUAUGUUGGAGUUUAUUAUAUUUUUGGAUAUUACGAUAAAUGGUUGACACUUGUCGGAAGACCAGAGAAGGUUUGGGGUUAACUAAGGGGAACAACUGCUAGAUAGAUUUUCUUCAAAUACAUUACAAGUUCUCAAAGACUCAUGGUACCAUUGCCAUAACCUGGAUACUAAUGGUAGGCAGAAGGUUUGUCUUGUCAUUAAACUAGAUCUUCAAAGCCUAAUGAUUUGGGCACACAUGUUAUGUUCAUAACUGAAGAGCUUUCCUAUUUCCUUGAACUCUACAACUUAGAUUUUAGCCUUUUAGUAGUUAUUUAAGCUUAUGCCUUGAAGUUAGCCUUUAUAGAAUCUCAAAGGCUACAGCAUCUAAAGUAUGUCUGUAGCUGAUAGCUGGAUCUUUGCCUCUUCUGUCUAGGAAGUAACAAAACACUAGAUCAGAUGAUUGAAACACGUGAGCAGGAGGGUUAGGUUUGGAAUUAACAAACUUUAGGUCUGUUAUCCUGUACUCCGUACACAGUAGCUAGACUGUACUUAACUCGAUAGGCUCAAUCAUUGCAUCAGCUAUCUAUAGACUAGAUCACUAGAUGAGCAAGGCAAGGGGGCAUGAUGCAGCCAUGGAGGGCUGUCAGGACCAGUAUAGCUUUGCGAAGCUUGUCUUGCAAGCACCCUACAGCAUGGCACAUACACAGAUACACUUGCCCCCACAUAAUCAUAUGUUGUAUCCUUUGUGUAUCUAUGAUGUCUAUAUAUAUAUCUCUGCCAUUCCACCAAUGCCAUUGUGUAAAGGACAAUGGCUGCUUUGCUCCUUCUGCUUGGUGUUUUCUCAGUCUUAUUUGCUGCCAUAUAUCCUGUUCAGUCCACUCCAGCAUCUCAUUCACAUGUAGUACUCCUUUUUUUGCGCAGAUUUUCACUCCUUUAUUCAUCCUUUUUAAUCAAAUCAGAUGUUCAUCUGUCCUCUUUUCUGGUGUAUUGCAGGUUCACAUUGUGUACUUGGGCCACAACAAUGGCCUGAGUCCUUCUCUGACCGCACAGUUUCAUCUGCGACUUCUAUCAAGAGUCUUUUCAGGGUAAUUCAUCAUCGUACAUUUUGAACUAAAGUUAAACGGGAAUAGUAAAAGACGGCUGAGUUUUCUUGAAGUUGACAGCCAAUAAGUGCAGAAGCUCCACUGUCUGCAUUCCAUAAGACAAAGUACAUCUGAGUUAUUGCUGCGCAGUACUAACUUGUCAGAUAAAUAACCAUAAAGUGAUUAGUAAAGUUGUUUAGGUAAUUGUUUGUAACAUUUAUACCAUGAUAGAAACUAUUGAUAUUUGUUACUCUAUUUUUUGUCCAAGCUGUAUUGUAUGCUUAGCUUGAAGCUUCAAUACCUUCACUCAGAGAAUCUGGACAUAAUUUUUUCCCUUUGGCAAGAAAAUGUGGCUAAAGAAACACUUGUAUGAACACAACAUUGCAGGCCAGAUGAAGCAAGACAAGCUAUUCUGUAUAACUACAGCUAUGGAUUCUCUGGUUUUGCAGCAGUGCUCAAUUCAACGCAAGCUGACACAUUGUCUGGUAACAAUUACCUAUAUCCUGGUGUUGUCUUAGUAUCUGUACAUAUCUAUUUUUGUGCACUCGAAUAUUUCCAUAAAUUUACAAGGAAUUCCAUGGUCAUUAUAAGCAGAAACAGAAGAGGUCAUAUCAGUAUUCAGGAGCAGGAUGCUGCAGCUCCAUACAACAAGGAGCUGGGAUUUCAUGGGCAUCAGCCUGCAUUUGCAGAUGCAACAAUCAUCCUCCCGGGUGCAUUUGAAGUACGGAGCCGAUGUAAUUGUUGGUAUCCUCGACACAGGUACUUGUUUUUUUACUGAAUCAGGUACUUGUCUUAAAACGAUUUCCUUUUCCCUGCAAAUCCUACUGCACUGUCCUGUACCUGUUUCUCCAUCUCCACACAUGAAAAGUGGAGUCCCUGCGUGUUCUUCUAGCAUGAAGAAAAUACGUAUGUUAGCUACCAAUAUCAUCACAAUGUGGUUUCCCGUUUCCAACAGCAAUGCAAGAGAAAUGAACUUCAGCAAACCUGAAGUAAAAUAAGUUCCUGGAUGCUAGCUACAGCUACCAUGAGAUACCAAGAUCUGAAGCUAACAAUUUUAUUAGCACCCAUCCAGUGCUGUUGGUCCUUGGCAUUUUUCACUCCACUUGGAAAUUAACAUCUGAUGCUUUCAUUCGUGUCCUCAGGGGUGUGGCCUGAAUCCGAAAGCUUCAGGGACGACCCCCACCUAGGCCCGGUCCCUUCAUCAUGGCGGGGCACGUGCGUGGGAGGGCAGCAGUUCGACCCGGCCACCGCGUGCAACCGCAAGCUCAUCGGGGCCCGCUACUACCUCGCCGGCUUCGAGAGCGACCUUGGCCCGUUGAACACCAGCGGCGGCGCAGAGUACCGGUCGCCCCGGGACCGGGUCGGCCACGGCACCCACACGGCGUCCACGGCCGUGGGCUCCGUGUCGCCCAACUCGAGCUACUUCGGCGGGCUGGGCCGCGGCGCCGUGCGCGGUGGUGCGCCCGGGGCGCGCCUGGCCGUGUACAAGGUGUGCUGGUUCAAGGACAUGACGGGCCGAUGCAGCGAUGCCGACAUACUGGCGGCGUUCGACGACGCGCUGCAUGACGGCGUGCACGUCAUAUCGGCGUCCCUCGGGUCGCCGCCGCCGCUGUCGCCGCUGUUCGAGACGAGCACCGAGGUCGGGUCGUUCCACGCGAUGCAGCUCGGGGUGUCCACGGUGUUCUCGGCGGGGAACGACGGGCCCGAUGCGGCCAUGGUGCAGAACGUGUCCCCCUGGGCGCUCACCGUCGCCGCCAGCACCAUCGACAGGAGGUUCCCCACCGUGAUCACCCUCGGAAACAAUGCCUCCUUCGUGGUGAGUCCUAGCUUGGUCCUUUUCUUCUUAUUUUAACCAAAUGUAAUUAUUUUACUGUGGUUAAUUACAAAUCGUAAAUAACGGAUAAAAUGUGAGGGUGUUUAACACAGGGGGAGAGCUUCGUUGUGGAGGACAUGAAAAUGCCUUUGGUAGAGAGCAGCAGUGUCUUUACGGAUGGGUAAAUCUCUCUGAGACGCACACACAUAAUGAUUAGUUUAGCUAGCGAUCGACGUCUGUUUGAUGACUAAUCGGGCGAUAUGAUGCAAGGACGUGCACCUUCGACCAGCUGGUGAACCGCACGGCGGCGUCGGGGAAGAUGGUGUUGUGCUUCUCCACCAUGGGGAUGGUGUCCAGCGAAGGAGCCGCACUGGCAGUGUACGCCGGCGGCGGCUCCGGCGUGAUCUUCGCCGACACCAUCACCCGGAAAUCCACCCAGGACAACUUCCUGCCCACCGUCCACGUCGACCUGCGCCAGGGCACCCAGAUCCUCGACUACAUCCACGUCCGAUCCAGGUAACCCCCCGUCGGAUCGAGUAACGUCAGCGAGCGCGGUCUUUCGAAGUUUCGAUGUGAACCGUCGAACGGUAUCAAUGCAGGCAGCCGGCGAGCGUGCACGUGUCCCCGAGCCGGACCGUGGUGGGCAGGACGCCGGCGCCCGCCGUCGCCUACUUCUCCUCCCGAGGUCCCAGCUCCAUCUCCCCCAACAUCCUCAAGGUAUGUCCCAUCAAGGCAGCUCUGUCUCACUGUGUGUGAUUCGAAAACUUUGCUGAAUUUGACUGGCAUUCCGUUGCGGCACGGCAGCCCGACGUGACGGCGCCGGGAGUGAACAUCCUGGCAGCAUGGCCGCCCAAGUCGCCGCCGACGGUGCUCCCCCUCGACAAGCGCUCCACGCACUGGAACUUCGACACGGGGACGUCCAUGUCGUGCCCGCACGUGUCCGGCAUCGUGGCGCUCCUCAAGUCCAUUCACCCUGCCUGGUCGCCGACCGCGGUCAAGUCGGCGCUCAUGACGACGGCGUACAUGCUGGAUAACACCGGGGACGCGAUGCAGGCGGGGGGCACGCUGAAGGCCGCGGACGCGUUCGACGCCGGGGCCGGACACGUGGACCCGCUGCGGGCGCUGGACCCGGGCCUGGUUUACGACGCGGACGCCCGCGACCACGUCCGCUUCCUCUGCGGCCUCGGGUACACGUCCGCCCAGGUCAGGCGGAUGGUGCUCCCUUCCCCGUCGAUCAACGCCACGUGUCCGUCCGGCCCGUCCGCUGAGACGGAAGCGGACGACCUCAACUACCCGGCCAUCGUGCUCGCGGACCUCGGCGGGACAAGGACCGUGAAGAGGACGCUGACCAACGUUGGACCGCGGAGGGACGUGGUUUAUUGGGCUAGCGCGGUUGUCAGCCCGCAGGGAGCCCGAGUCGAGGUUUGGCCCAGGGAGCUGGCCUUCUGCGCGGGGCGGGAUUGGGCCGAGUUUUAUGUGACUGUCACGCCGGGGAAGAUGUCCAGGGGGAGGUUCGACUUUGGGGAGAUCGUGUGGUCCGAUGCGUUCCGCCACCGGGUCCGCACGCCGCUCGUCGUCAGCGUCGCCAACCUGCCGGACAACGGCGUCGGCGCCGGUUCCGGCGCUCGAUCCAUGGAUGGCCACGGUGCUGCUGAUCCACCUUCGCAGGCUGCAGCCUAGCUCCGGCUUUAGAACGGAGAACUAGUACUGUAAUAUACUAUUCUUGCCAGGGCACGGCUUCUUUAUUUUGAUUCAGGUGUUUUGUUUGUUUACUGCGGAUUCGUAUGGUGUUUUCGGUUCAUUUUCUUUGGGACAUAAGUGCAUAUGCCGUGAGUGUCAGUGUGUCAGUGGUCAGGUUGAAAUGUUGUGUGUGUUGUUGUUAUUCUUCAGCAUCUGGAGGGUCCAGGCAGAGCUAUCAUGCGCGAAUUAUCACGCCAUUAGUCAAAGUUUUAUGAUUCGCCUUCAGGUCUGCGAACAUUGACUGAGAUGCACUUGUCCUGAGGCGUCACCCGCGUCAGUGUGGGGAAGUGAGGGCGACGAAGCGAGUUUGUGCAAGGCACGGCAAGCCAAGCGCCCGACUGAAUCAGCAACUUGUUCUUCUAGACUUCUGAAGUCUCGUUUUCUAAAAAGCCUUCUGAAAUCUUCUGCACCAAGUACUAAACCGUAAUUGCCUAGCACCAGCAGCAGCAUCCUAUUCCUUGGAGAACAACCUGACAUCGCCCAUGACUACUGAACAACCUUACAAACACAACCUAAAAAAAGCCCUGUGAAUCUGGACACUCGAGCUGCCCCGGCACGGCGAUACGACAGCCGUCGAUCCAAUCAUGCAUGUACUCCUAUAUAAAAUCUGGACCAAGCAGUCGUUAUCCGGGAUGACCUGUGACGCAGAUCGCUCAUCGUGAGGUGGCCAUUAGACAACAUCGAGCCGAUGACGUGUAUGGGGGGAUCCUUUCUCGGCCGUCGCUCGCUCUUCUUGGGGGAAGGAAAUCGUAUCAUUCGUCCGUCGCUCGUCAGAUAACACAGGAGUUGCCUAUUUUUGGUGUAGUCCGUCACCGUCCAUUACUAGCACUCGUCUUGUCAGAGAACAACAACAAGAGGGCGUACCCCGACCAAACACGGUGGGAAAACACAAACGAGUAUAUACGUAGUGCUUUGGAUUGCAUGCUUUGGUCCAGAGCAAUUUCUACGGGGCAGAAAGGAAUAUCACGGUAUUUUCUUGGAGUUCCUGUUAACUGAAUAGAAAGUUUCAGUUUUGUUAUUUCUUCUUUUUUCACAAAUAUCUUUGGUGAUAUUGGUCUCACGUUUCAGGUUGACGUAGUGCUUACUAGGAUAUGACACGUCGUUGGACAUGUUGGCCUCUCUCCCACGUGUUAUACCAACAUGACAUUGACUAGGACACUUCAUGAUCCGAAAGCACGGGUCUCUCUGUCUCUCUCCAGAUGAUGGAUGAAAUUAGGUAGGAUGCGUGUGCGCGCUUCUGUGUGUCAGGUAGCAUUGCCGAAGAAGAUUUGCAAUGUAAAACUCAAGUGAAAUCAUUGUAAAAAUGACUAGGAGUAUAUCAGAAACGUCCUUCUCUCCAAAAGUUGGAUCAACAUAUCGUCAACGUCAACGAGAUGGAUGCCAAUCCACCAUCUACUUAGCAUAACAGGGACAACAGAUGAUUAAGCCCGGCUCAAACAUGACUCUUGGUGUUUAAAUUUGGUUCAACGUCUCACCCAAAAAAAGGAGCUUGACCAUAUUUACCGCUUAAUAACCAUAUUUUCUAGACCCCUUUGAGAAAAGGUGUUAUACAAAUUUCAUGGAAAAGUUUGAGCUUAAUCAUGAAUAAGGAGUGUCAGAAGCCUUGAAGCCCUAAUUGGAAGCGUUUUAAUAGAUUGAAAACAUAUUUGUCUUGAAGAUGAAAAGGUUGAAUUCAAAUUUGGGUGUGUCUAUUACUCGGUCGCUUGAUUUUUAAGCAAAAUAUUAUCAAUUUUAGUUGAUGCAUUAGAGCCAAUCCGAAAGUCAUCGUCACUUUCUCUUCUUCCAUGUGCUAAACACAUAUCGACUGAUCUCUAACUAAAAACAAAUAAUUUUUUAACAGCAAAACCAUUCAAAUUUCGCAAAUCCUGCCGUCCUCGGUAACCUGAGGAAGCCCGACGAUGGAAUGGAAUCUGACGCCAAAGGUCCAAUCGCGGCUCGACCCCGCUAGCAGGUGGUACGCAGCAGAAUCUCGCGACGCCGGCCGGCCGGCCGGCCAGAUGCCAGAUCCAUCCAUCGCCAGAACACAAUUCCUUUCUUUUCUUUAAAUUUUACCUUCGUCGUGGGGGCGAUCUCGUUGCACCAGAGGAGCAGGCACGGCACGUGCCAAGCCUUAUCCUCCCAUGUUUUCUAAUCACCCGGAAAUCCCAGAGAGAGAGAGGGUGAAAAAAAUAAAUAAUAAUAACAAUACAGCUAUCCAUAAAGAGCCGUGGGGGCGCACUGCGUGCGUGCCGCCGCGUUGCUCACUGGAGCCCUCCCGCUCGCUCUCGCGCCUUCUUCAUCUUGUUUUCUCCACUCGCAUCGCAUCCAUUUCCUGUGCCUGAUUUAUUUUCUUCUGCUUUUUUCCCCUGGCGUGGAAACGGAGAGAAAGGCGUGGGUCUUGCCUCGGACUCACGCGCCGGUGGUGAUCAUCAGCGCUUCACCUGCAGAGCCCCCCCAGCACUGUGUAUUUGCGUGGCGUGUUGGAAGGAAGACCGUGAACGGACGACGCCCAAAAGACACCACGAGGGAGAUAAAUAGCUCCACAAACUGCAAUUGUCUGGGAGUGCCCUUGCUUGGGAGUGAACAAGAACGCUAAGUGAAGGCCGCAUGUUCCUUUCAAAAAGUAAAGUGCAUGCGAUGCGAUUUUUUUCCCCUUCACGUGUUGAGUAGCAGAAUGGAUGACGUGGCUACUUAGGGCAUCUACAUUGGUGGUUGAUAUUAAAAAAAAAUUCUUCUUUUUUAAUAUGUUUUUUCCUAUUCAUUUUCUUUAUGGACCCACAUGUCAAUUUCUUUUCUGUCUUGGUAUUCGUGUAGUACCUGUUAUUUUUUCAAGUAACCACUACUUAGUUGUGAUAUUCAUCUCUCUUUCUCAUUAGCCACUAACUUCUUAGUACCCGUGAAGUACCUCUUGUUGAGGAUGCCCUUAUGGACAUGCAUUUGUAUAGCUGGGUUUUACUGUGAAGAGAGAACUUGUUCAAUGUGUACAUUUUUUUUGCGUUGAGUGAUUGACUGGUGUCGUUUAGGAGCAGACUCAUGAUUUGGCUGUACAUGGGAGACAACAGGCCAUGUAUUUUUCCUUCUUAUUCUUCAGUAUUACUACUUCCUCCGUCCAACGAAAGAUGUCUCAAGUUUGUUAAAAUUUGGAUGUAUCUAAACAUGACUUAGUGUAUAGAUGCAUUCAAAUUUAGUUAAAGUUGAAAACAUCUUUUGUUGGACGGAGGGAGUACUGUAUUUUUUUACUUGGAAAAGUAUUGGGGUGCCCUCCCCUGCUGUCGGUUUUAUUGUAUAGUGAGCCCGGAUCGCUCGUACUAUCGUACAAUGCCCAUGUAACUUACACACUGCUUACUAUUGUUGUGUACACCUGCAUAAUGCUCAUCUCAUCUACUCCUCUGGUUUGGCCUUGGCUUGGUACUUUGUAUGCUUUGCGUUGCCACUAAAAAAAAAAGUAUCCCUGACAACAUCUUAUUCACUUCCGUAUUUGUAUAUUCUUUAUCGUAUUUGUGUUAUUAGCUGAGUUGUGAUGUUGCUCAUUGGAAGGUGUAUCGGGAGGCGAUAGCACCACCACAACACUUCUUUCGUAUUGUAUAUUCUUUAACGUACCAUGUUAUUAGCUGAGUUGUGAUGCUGCUCACUGGCAGGUGUAUCGUGAGCUGGUAACACCGGCACAACACUUCUUCCGUGUUGUACCGGUUGAGCUGUGUCGCUACACACUGACAACUUUACCAUGAGCUGGUAACGGUUCUUCCGUAUUGUACAUUCUUUAUGUAUUGCAUUAGUACCUGAGCUGUGUCACUAAUACUGACAACUGUAUCAUGGGCUGGUAACACCGGCAUAAUACCGUGUCCCUUCCACAUUGUAUAUGCUCUGUGUAUUUGCAUUAUCAAUUGAAGGGCGUCGCUACUUAUCAAUAGUUGUACCAUGAGCUGGCAACACUCGGCAAGACUCCUUUAUUUCUGUGAUAUAUGAUUCAUGUGGUGCAUUAUUACUUUAGCUGUGUCGCUGCUCGUUAACAAUCGUGCAAUGAGCGGGUUCCACCGAAAAAACACUUCAUAAUUCCUGUACCACGCGUUUUUCAUCAAUUGCGUCAUCACUCUUCCACAUCUAUUUCGUGAGCCGGCAUCGCUCUGUAUUGCAUUAUUACUGCACCGAGUAGCUGUUUUGCAUUACUACAUCGAUGGACGCAUCAUGAGCUGUUAACACCCACAAAAUUCACGCAACCUAUGAUGUAUAUACACGUUAUGAGCGAAGUUGUGUGGCUACUCGACAAUAGCUGUGGCAUGAGCUAGCAAAUGACGCCAUUUACAUAUGCGUUGAACGGUAGAGCUCGCGUCUCCGACUAUUCACAGCUGUACCCCGAGCCACUGGCAUUGAUAAAAUACCGGGCAAUCCAUUUUUUUCUAUAGAUAUUAAGCCUAUUUUCUCAUGCCUUGCCGCUAUAAAUAAGAAUGAUAAAUAAUUUUGAUCAUUUCAAAUAAAAAAAUAGUACAGGAUAGUGACUAAAACCUACUGCUAACAAAAAAAAUCCACCCCCAAACCCACCGGGGUAAGAAAAGGAUCAGAAAAGACCAGCAAUUAACCAGACCAAAUCACCACUCCCUCACAAUCUCACACCACAUAAAACCAAAGAGAAAAAAGAAGUAAGGGAAAAAAAUCCAGCAAAGAAAAGCCACAACCCCUAGAAGACAAAUAAAAAAUAAAUAAGUGGAGAAACGGAGAGGAGAGGGGAAUCCCAAGCGAGCCUCCUCUACCUGCAGUUGAGCCGUGGUCGUCCGCGCUUCCUCCUGACCGCUGCUAUAUGAGCCCCCGGGCCUAACCCUAAACCCCCCUCUUUUCCCUUCGCAGCAAAGGCCACUGUACCAGUAGUACUAGUACUACCUCAGCUGCUGCCCGCUGCUGCUAGUCUCCUCUGGUGGCGGCUCGUCUCCCUCCCGCAUCCAUCCCCACCCGCCGCCUCCUCCCCUUAUCCCUCUCGACCUCUGCGUCGAGCUCGCGUCUGCCUAUCCGCAGGAGAGGCAGAGAGGAGAGGGGAGAAGCAGGGCCGGGCGCUCUGGUCGGUUCCGUCGGAUCUCGCCCUAUCCAGGUUGUUUGUUCCUCCGUUGGGAUCCUGUAUCAUGGCCGCCGCCGCGCCGCCUCCCGCCCCGGCCGCCGCGCCGGCUUCCUCCGGUGCUGCUGCCGCCGCCGCCGCCGCCGCCCCUGCCGCGGAUCGUAUCCUUUCGGUGCUGUUUUUCGCUUUCUUACAUGGUUUUGUGCAUUUUUAUUAGAAAAACACAUGUUUUUGUGUUGUGGGCGGUUUGCUUGAUUGACUGCGAUGGGUAUGCUUCGCUCUGCCGCCCGUGGUGACUGUGCUGCGGCGGCGGCUGCCGGCCGGUCGGCCCCACAUGCCCUCUGCGCCUGUCCGUCCUUGCGGUCACGCUUAGUUUCCUUUUCCAGAUCGGUGUGUUUUACUGUAUUAAGUAAGGCUUCCUGUCAAAAAGCAUGAUUGUUAUAAGUACUAGUUGAAUAGGAUUGUCUCUGUUGCUUGGUAAGAUUUACUAGUUUGCAAGGUUUAGGAUCUCAAUUCACCGUGUGACGCCUUAAUCCAACGGUUUGCUGUGCAAAGAAGCGACGGAUCUGCUGCAGAAGCUGAAGCUGGAUUCGCAGCCCAAGGUGGCCGAUGCAACCGAGCCUGCCGGGGCCAUGAAGGUAUUGAUAGAACAGUAAAGAUGCAUUUUUUUUAAGGUCUUGCUCCAGGUAAUAUGUGAUUCUGAUACAUGUGGUGUUGCUGCUAUUUCAGCAGGGGCCUGUGACCUCCCAGCCGCUUAGCGUGGCCAUCCCGCCGGAACGGUCCAUCACGCCUGUACUUCAAGACUUUAUGGAUCCCAACAUGUUCUAUCUGCCAGCAUAUUACUAUGGAGGUGAGGUGCCAUCGAGAAUUACUAUUAUCUGAUCAUGUGUUUGUAAGAUCAGCUAUUUGUUUUACAUUAUCUUUUGUGCUUCCUACUGUUUGCAGUGUUGUACAGUUCUCUGAUAGAUGAGCUUGCUGCCUCUUUUCAAUUUUGUUUUAUGCUAACUGAAUUGUGCUGGUGCUUGUCUUGCAGGUUACGACGGUUCCAUGAGCGAGUGGGAUGAAUAUCCUAGAUAUGUAAAUCAGGAUGGAGUGGAGGUUGCCCCAGUAAGUUAUCCUAGAGGAUGUUUUCUUUUAGCUUUCACGUGUUGUUCCUCAUCAUGACUUGUACCAUGCAUCAUAUUCUUAUUUUAUAUAAGGGGUCAGGAUGUUUAUAGUAGUGUCUACUGGAAGCUGUCAUGUCAAUUCUAUUGUUGGAUUGGAUAUGUAUAAUGUAAUAAGUGAAAUGAUAUCUACCCAUUUUUGGGUAUGUUUUGUAUCUCUGAUGGGAUUUCCUGCCACUAACAUCUGUAGUGAGCAUGUCAACAUCUCUCAUCUCAUUUUGUCAUGCUCACAUAUUGGGUAUGCCAACAUCUUGUUUCUCACAUAUCUGUGUUGCGUCCAUAAACAUUAAAAUUAACUGUUCUAACUGUCCUUUGUAAUUUUACAGGCAGUAUAUGGAGAUAUUUAUGGAUAUGGGUAUGCUCCUUAUGGCGCAUAUUCUCCAGCUAGUUCCCCAGUCCCAACAGUUGAUGGUCAGAUGUUUGCCGCGCAGCAUUACCAGUAUCCUGCUGCAUAUUAUCAGCCCCCUACCCCGGUUCCUUCUACCACUCAAGGUGACCUACAGCCUUCUGUCAAUGCUGAUAAGCCAGCAGCAAAGGCAGAUACUGCCAAGACAACCACAAAUGGUGUUCCUAAUGGUACUGCUCACAGUAACAGUGGAACUGCGCCCCUUGGGUCAAGCUACCAAAAUUCAUCAUUGACCCCUGAUGGAACUUAUAGGGCACCGUUGCUUGGUGGAGUCCCUUCUACUGGUUACGUGGACCCAACCUAUGGUUACGACACCACAGGAGCACACUAUGCAUGGUAUGAUGGUUCUGCUUAUACCAAUGGACAGCAAAGAACUACAGCUAAUAACAUGUCGUCUUCAGCGUAUAAUAGCAAUGGCUCUUCAGCGAGGUAUCAGAACAAGAGCCCCACACCGCAGCAGACGGUAAGAGAGAAUUGUGUUGUGUUGCUAUUAAUUUGGAUCAAGGGUAUUUAGAAUUCACUAUCUUUCUGCACAUGCCAUGCUAUAAGUUAAUAUACUUGUUCAUACACACAAUAGCAUGGGGAUGGAUAACAAACAGUUCUCUCGUAAUGGCUGCACCUUAAGUGAAGCUAUUGGAUAGGAAACAGUCCUUAUAAACUAUUAUCUGAUUUCCCUCUGGAACAUGCUGGCUCCUUGCUUACUUAAAAGGCAUAUUUUGGUCAUUUUGAGUUGAUUUUGAAGUUCUACCUUGAUUGUGCUGUAUAUGGUUUCCUCACUGAAGUGUGUGCUCUUUAUAUUGUCUUUAUGCAGGGCAUGAAUAACCGGAGACCAGUGACUACAGCAGGAUCAGCUGCUUCUACAUAUCCAAACAGGGUAUACCCGAGCACCCGGUCUUACAGCCAGUAUGGAAAUUCCAUCAAAACCGGCUACGGAAGCAAUGGCUACGGAAGCAAUGGCUACGGAAGCAAUGGCUAUGGAAGCAUUGGCUACGGAAGCAAUAGCUAUGGAAGCAUUGGCUAUGGGAGCAAUGGCUACGGAAGCAAUGGCUAUGAUUCCAGGACAUAUGGCCGGUGGGGUGUUCCUAUGGAUAACAGAUACCGGCCCAGAGGCCGUGGCAACGGAUAUUAUGGUUUUGGCAAUGAGAGUCAGGAUGGAACAAUUGAGUUGAACAGAGGUCCUAGGUCAGGUCGAUUCAAGAACCAGAAAUCAUUUGGCCAUAACGUUACCAUCGCUGUGAAAGGACAAACCCUUCCUUCAAGCGAAACCAAGACUGCUACUGAUGUACCUGAUAAGGCACAGUUCAACCAAGAUGAUUUCCCUGUCCAAUAUGAUGAUGCGAAGUUCUUUGUCAUUAAAUCAUACAGCGAGGAUGAUAUCCAUAAGAGUAUUAAAUACAAUGUGUGGGCAAGUACCACCAAUGGAAACAAGAAGCUUGAUGCUGCUUAUCAAGAAGCUCAGGCAAAGAGCUCUAGCUGCCCUAUAUUCUUGUUUUUCUCGGUGAGGAUAUUCUCCGUACUUGGUAUUCCUUACUAAUGCUCAAUGCAGUUUCUGUGGUUAACCGAAUUUCUUUCACUAUAAAAUCUCAGGUGAAUACAAGUGGACAGUUUGUUGGUGUUGCUGAAAUGACUGGUCCUGUUGAUUUUGAGAAGACCCUUGAGUACUGGCAACAAGACAAGUGGAAUGGUUCAUUCUCUGUCAAGUGGCACAUUGUCAAAGAUGUGCCCAACAAUAUUCUCAAGCACAUCAUCCUAGAGAACAAUGAGGGCAAGCCAGUCACAAAUAGCCGCGACACACAAGAUGUAAGUGUGCUCAAAUGUUUAAUUUAGUUGCUUCACCGACUUACAGAUAAGCUAUAUCUUACUGCUCUCUUGUUUUAUCCUUGUUGUAAAACAAUCCAGAUAAACCUUGAGCAAGGUAUUCAGAUGCUUAAGAUAUUUAAGGAGCAUGUCAGCAAGACAUCGAUCCUAGAAGACUUUGCCUUCUAUGAGAACCGCCAGAAGUUGAUGCAGGAAAAAAGAGUGAAACAACAGCAGAUCCAAAAGCAGGUACAUGUGAAUCUAACCCUAGUAAAUCAUCACUUCUUCUGCUGUUUCAUCCUACUCUAUGUAGUAACACUGGGUUGGUUGUUCAAUCAUUCAGGUCUGGGACAGUAGGGCUGCAAAUCCUGUGGCUGGAGAGAAACAGCAGGACAUUGUCAAUGGGAAGCCAAAGCUAUCUGUACCAAAUGGUGUCAUCACUGAAGAGAAGCAGCAGGAUAUCGCUAAUGGGAAGCCAAAGUUGUCCGCACCGAAUGGUGUUAACGGAGAGCCGAAAGUUCCUGCAGAGAAUGGCGUCGCUGCUCCUGUUGCUACCUAUGCUGCGAAGGUAGCCCAAACAGCAGCAACCGAGAAACCUGCGCUUGCCAACGGUGCCGUCAAGACUGGUCUAGCUUGAUCGCAUACCCUGAUGCUCCCAGCUAGCCAUGAGGAACAAACGGACGGUCCCCGACGAACCAGGCAAGAACAUGCGGUCCCAAGGAACUGGUCAUCAAAGGUCGGCUACCG